Molecule: ribosomal RNA, 467 nt
Filed under: uncultured bacterium
Lineage: Bacteria
Description: bacterial SSU rRNA
Rfam family: Bacterial small subunit ribosomal RNA
Source: RNAcentral
GAGUUUGAUCUUGGCUCAGAGCGAACGCUGGCGGCAGACUUAACACAUGCAAGUCGAGCGGGCGUAGCAAUACGUCAGCGGCAGACGGGUGAGUAACGCGUGGGAACGUACCUUUGGUUCGGAACAACACAGGGAAACUUGUGCUAAUACCGGAUAAGCCCUUACGGGGAAAGAUUUAUCGCCAAAAGAUCGGCCCGCGUCUGAUUAGCUAGUUGGUGAGGUAACGGCUCACCAAGGCGACGAUCAGUAGCUGGUCUGAGAGGAUGAUCAGCCACAUUGGGACUGAGACACGGCCCAAACUCCUACGGGAGGCAGCAGUGGGGAAUAUUGGACAAUGGGCGCAAGCCUGAUCCAGCCAUGCCGCGUGAGUGAUGAAGGCCCUAGGGUUGUAAAGCUCUUUUGUGCGGGAAGAUAAUGACGGCACCGCAAGAAUAAGCCCCGGCUAACUUCGUGCCAGCCGCCGCCGU